GUGGCAUACACGUGCAACACACGUGUUGAAAAAUUAGUAUACUACAAAUAAUCAAAUUUGAAUCGAACUCUAUCACUGUUUUUUCUUUUCUCGUGAGUAGGAAGCAUCCUAACAAUAUGAAUUAUGUGAAUUUAAUCAAACUCGAAUUGGAAUUUGUCACUAUUUUUCCUCUCAUGUGAGUUGAAAGCACACCAACAAUGUGUGUUGCGUUGUUAUACUCUGCAAAUAGAGAAAAUUCUUAAUAAAAUGAAAAAAAAAUGAACAGAAGACGAUAGCUGCAUAUUUUAUCCCUAAAUUAUAGAUAAAUCUACUUUUGAUCCUUUUUGAUAUAUGACUAUGUAUUUUCAAUAUCCAAUUAAUUAGAAUGUGUGUUUCUAAUCCCUUCAUGUAGAAAAGACUAAUAGAUAUACUUCGUGUGUUGUGUGUUUCUAAUUAUAAUGUAUAUUCCAUCUUUAGUUUUCAACAUUCACAAAUUUAUUAAUAGUUCCACCAUUUAAUUAUUAAUAGAUUUGAUAAUCUAUAUAAUUGUAUUAGCGUCAAAUAUGGAAUAACACUACAUAUUUAAUAUAACACAUGAAUAACUAAGCGGUAGAACUAUUAAUAAAUUUGUGAAUGUUCAAAAUCAAAGAUAUAAAAAGUGCACAAUUCAAUUAAUUCAUUUUAAAAUGUUUAGAUAGACAUCAAAGAGAUUAAAAUAUCUUUUGGAGAAAGAUAUAUUUUGAUCUCUCAUGUUUUAUAGACUAUGUCAGUGUAUUUUCUUUCAGCUAUGAACCCUCAGCAGGUGCAAUAAAUCAGUUGCAAAAUAUAUUUGCGAAGAUUUACUGGGGAAACAUUGUAGGAGACAAAAAUAAACACGACUCUCAUGAAAAAAGAUGUGUUUCCCUAAGGAGGAAGGUGGACUCGAUUUUAGAUCAUUGCAUGAUAUGUUGAAAGCUCUUUUUGCAAAGAUUUGGUGGAUUUUUAAAAGUUCUACUUCAUCUUUAUGGAGUGAUUUUAUAUGGAGUAAAUAUUGCAAAAAGAAACAUCCUUUACUGGCUCAGGGAUAUGGGACCUCACACGUGUGGAGAAAAAUGACUGCUAUUAGAGAAGAGGUGGAGCAUAAUAUUUGGUGGCAAUUAAAAGGAGGGAAUUCAAGGUAUUGUUAUGAUAACUAGACAAAAUAAGGUUCUUUGUAUUAUAUUGAAGGAGAAAAUACUUUGGGGGAGGAAUUGGAGGUGAUAUGUUUCGUUAAAAAUGGUGAGUGGGAUAUACCCAAGUUACAGGAAUAUAUUUCUCAAGAAAUGGUAGACUAUAUCAGGUAAUGUAUUAAACCUCCUACACAAGAUCAAAAUGAUACUCCAUGGUGGAUGGGAAACACAAAUGGGAGGUUUACUAUAAAAUCAGCAUGACACUUAUUGAGGAAAAGACGGGAGGAAAGAAGAGAGUAUUUGUUCAUGUGGACAAAAGGAUUACCUUGAAAGAUUAGUUUUUUCCUAUGGAGAGUGUGGGGGAGAAGAAUUGCUACUAAUGAUAAUCUUAAAAGGAUGAAGAUAUGCAUAGUAUCAAGAUGUUGGUGUUGUAAAGUGAUGGAGAAGGAAUGUAUGUCCCAUCUUUUUCUAAUAGCCUUUAGUUAUGGAAGCAGUUUGCUAUUUUUGCAGGUAUAAGCACGAAGAACAGGAACCUACAACAAUUGAUUAUUGCUUGGUGGAAGCAUAAGUGUUGGUACCCAAUUUUGGCUCUCCAAGCUUAAAAUUAAUGCAUUUAGACUUUUUGAUCGUUAAAUGGUACAAAAUACAAUCUUUCACACAGUUUUUACAAUUGUUAAUAAAUUAUUGAUUAUCAUCAUUAUUUUAAAAUUAUUACCAAUUUAUUGUCGUAUUUUAAUUUUACAUAAUUUAUUAAUAAUUAUCCUUAAUUUCUUAAAUUAUAGGAUUUUUAUCAUUUUAUUAUCAUUUUAAUAUUUUUGCACAAUCAUCUACAUACGUAUAUAACAUAAAACUUCAAUUCUUUUUUUUACAUAUUAUAAUUUUAAUUUUUUAUAGCGUAAUAUAUUUUUUAAAUAUACUGUAUUUGUUGUGUGCAUUUUUCUAUAAUUAUACAUCAACAUUCAUAUUUUUGUAUAUCAUUUAAGACAAUCUGCAAACGAUAGUGUUUGCUCGAUUAUCGUAAUAUACAGAGCCAUAAAUCAAUCAAUUCAAAAUCUCAUCACUUUUAAAAAGUUACUUUGAGGUGAUGGGUUGAGGUUUUCAUUCAUUAGAUAAAAAAAAUUACAUAGUGGACAAAAGGAUGAAAAAUUUAUUUAAUAACUUUUGGAUUAAAGGAUAUUUUAUAAAGAAAAGGUGGGACACUUUUUUAUUUUUUGAACAAUAAAAAGGCCAAUUUUAUUUAUAAAUAAGGGGAGGCCUUUUUUUAUACACACUUUAACACACACUUAACACAUACACGCAUAUCAUAUUUCCCCUUCUUUCUUCUUUCUCUUUCUAAAAACCAACCUCCUCCUUCAACCAUAUGCCGCCGCCACCGGAGCUGACUACUGGAUGGCCAGCAUUCACUGCCACCCCCGCACCACCCCCCUUUUGCUCCGCAUUUUUGGUGAGUCAGCCUGAGACAACACCAGUGCUGCCCCCUUUUUACCCUUUUAUGCCAGUCUUCUCUAUUGCUACUUCGCCGAAGGUGAUGACCGGCAAAGCUUCAACACGAACCACCAUCACUGCUUCUCAUCUCUCUUCUCAUCUCUCUUUUUCCAACCCACCGGUGAAAUCCGCUGCCCCCAUCACUACCGGUGAGGGUUCCGGCCAAACUCUGGCGGAAACCUUCCAUUUCUCCUCUUCUCCCAUUGUUUGAUUUUUUCCCCUCUAUUAAUUGAGUGCUUGAAGGGAGAAAGCUGAUUGGGUUUUCACUUUCAAGCAUUGCUUCGGCGAUGUCAUUGAAGCAACAUCGGAGCCUCAAUUGCUUCAACUUUUUCUCUUCAAUGAAUUGAGUUUUGUAUGUUGUGCGUUUACUUUGCGCAGAGCUAGUCGACAAGAUGUCAUCCCAGCCGACCUCUUCUUUUAUAUAUAUUCCUAUAAAUUGUAUUUAUUUGCUUGACGUAUUUGUUGUUGUUCAUAGCAUCAUUUUUGAACUUUCUAACAAAUUGUGGUUUGCUCCGGCAUUUUGGUUGUUGCUUUGCUAGUUUCGUGGAUGUUGUUGCAUCUGUUUUGGGUUGUUGCUUUGCUAGUUUUAUGACUGCUAUUACCUCUAUUUUAGGGUUGAUUACUAUUAUAUUUGGGGAUAAUUAUAUUACAUGUUGCCCCUUGUAAUUUUAUUAAAUUGAUAAUAGGCAGUUACAACAUAAUAAAUUGGCCGAUGAAGAAAUUUUUCAUCGAUUUAUUAGGCCUCCGUAAAUAAAAGAGAUGGAUAUUACAUAUGCAAAUACGUAAUAAAAAUAAUAAAAUUGGGGCGAUGACGAAAUUUUUAUAAUAUUUAAAAUUUUAUUCGAGCCCACUUUUAACAAAAAUUAUAUUUUUAAAUAUAUAUAUGCACACAUACCUUUUCAAUUUAUUUAAUUAUUUAUUUGUUACUAACAUUUUUAUUACAAGUGUUUGUGCAGGUUCUUGAAAAUACAUGUUGAAAAUGAAAUUCAAGAAAUGAGAGAAUUUUGUAUUUAUAUUUUUAAAUUCUUACACUUGUACAAAUAUUAAUCAUAGUGAAAUCUUUGUAUUUGGGGCGUUGGACGGGGAUAUUAUUUAUUUAUGCAAUCCUUAUCCCGUGUUUAUGCAAAUUUAGGUUGUUAAUAUUUAUAUUAAAUUUAUUUAGAUAUAAUCAAAUAAUCAACUCUUUUUAUACUAAAACAUUACGUAAUCUUUCUUUAGAAUAAUUUUUUCUUCAUUCAAUCUUUUCAUUUUUUUCGUACAUAUUCUCAUGUACUUUUGUUUAUCUUCAUACAUUUUCUACACAAAUUUUUUUACGAUAACAUAUGCAAUUUACACAGCCUUUAUAUAUAAAUUGUUUAUAUCAUCUUAUGUAAGACCCCACAAAGUUUCCUCGUAGUCCGAGCCUUAGAGUGUGUCAAGUGAAGUAUAAUUUCGACCCUAAAAGAUUGAGAAGAGACUUCUCAAGUGAUUGGUGUUUAAAAUAUAUAGGAUUUUCUUAAAUUUGACUUUUUGUCAUGUAGAGAAUUGAAUUAGCUUUACAAUGAUACCAAUUUCGUCCAAAUCCGGUAUCGGGGUGAGAAGUUAUGGCCAUUUUAUUGAGAGUUAUCGGAAUCGCCCAGGUGCGACAGACGAUCCGACGGACUGUCGAAUCUGCGACAGACCAUCAAAACCAAGGAAGAAACUCCCUUUCCUAGCCCAAGUGUGACGGCCAGGACGACGGACUAUCAAGGCUGCGACAGACCGUCGCCACUAAGGCGGUGUGGUCUCAUCCUGGCUAUCGUGCAACGGACGACCCGACGAACCAUCAGAACUUCGAUGGACUAUCGAUACGACCGUUGCAUAGAGGCAAUAUGUCCCAUUUCUGGUCAUCGUGCGAUGGACGACUCGACGGACCGUCGCUUCGAUCGUCGCAGUCCCCGUUCAGUAUUUUUAACUCAUUUUAAUAAGGAGUUUUUCAGUAUUUCCACUCUUUUAUUAAGUAGAUAUAUUCCAAGUGAAGCAAAUGGCUUCAUUCAUCAUCCAAAACAAAAGAGAGCUAGGGUUUCUCCCUCAAGAUCAAAUCUAAAACCCUUCUCCAAGAAAUUCAAGAACUCACCAUAGAUUCUAUAAAUUGAAUUGAGAUUUGAGCUUCCCAAGUUCGAGGGUUGCUAGAACUCUCUCUCAAGAGUGAGAAUAAGAGUUUAGAGUUCCAAAAGCAAGACUUCAUCCAAAGCUUCUAAUUCAAGGUAUGUGGAGUUUUGAACAAGGGUAAUCCUUUCACCCUUGUGCCCAAAGGCCUAUUUAAACUACAAUUCUCUGCAAUUUAUGAGAUUUUACAUGAAAUUGAAUUGGGGGUUUUCACCCAUUGUUAUUGAUUGCAAGCUUUUGAUGUUUCCCUUGAAUUGAGAGUCUAAUGGCAUGGUUUUUACAUAUUUUCUUGAGACAUUGCAGCUGGGUCUAUACCCCAUAAUUUUAAUCCUUGAGAAGUUAAUAGUUGAAAUGUUUGAGAUAUUGAAGUAUAUGAGUAUGUUGAGAUUUUGAGACAAAUUGCUGAAAUUUCCAGAUUUCUACAUGAGUUAUGAAUCUAUAUGCUAUCUAUUAUGCUUUUGAUGAGUUUUAACUUGAGAUUGAAUUAUGGGUUAUUAAGCCCUACUUGAGACUUGAGAUUUUAUGAACUCUUGUGCUAUAAGCACCUAUGAUUUGAGUAUUCUGAGAUUAUUGAGAAAUGUUUUGACCUAAUUGUCAUUGAGUUUUGAAAUCCACUCUACUACAUGAGAUUACANNNNNNNNNNNNNNNNNNNNNNNNNNNNNNNNNNNNNNNNNNNNNNNNNNNNNNNNNNNNNNNNNNNNNNNUUUAGUGAUCACUGGACCUAGGUUAUACUCCCUGGCAAGAGUAUGACGCCUCUCCCCAACUUGAGGUCUCUUCCUUAGAAGGACAAAACGUUGGACUCCAUGUAGCUCGCAUGGUUUAUGUCGAUUAAGAGAACCUCCCUUGACAUUUAAACUUCGAAAUCAGUUACCCUCAAAACUAAAGUAUUUUCCAUUGAGAUAAGAUAUUUUCCUUUAAAACUAAAAUACUUUCCCUUGAUAUGAGUAUUUUUCCCUAAAGCUUGAAAUGAGAUAUUUUCCUAACGUGAAUGAAAUGCCUUCAAGUAUGUUCCAAAGUUAUAUGAUUUUAAAUUCCAAGAAUUUGAGUUCAAAAGAGUUAUGAGUUCUUGAGCAUUAAAUAAGUUUUACUCUCCAUGAGACAUAUGCAUGAGUUGAAAGUAUUGCUUAAAGUUUCCUUUAGUCUUGAGUAAUGAGAAUAAAAGAAGAGUACAAAUUCCAAAGCUAAAGUAUAAUGACUCAUGAGAUUGUGUUACAUGUUCCAUUUUACAUGAUUCAUGAGCUUUGCAUUUUAUACUUAUUCAAGACAUGUGAGUCAUUACUUAUUACAUGUAUGAUUUGAUUAAAGAAUAUUGAUGUUGUUUUAUAUAAAUGCAUGCACCCCCACAUACUCAGUACAUUCUCAAGUGCUGAUCCACAUAUACGUCUAUGUGUUAAAUUGUCUUAUAAUGUAGGUUCAGGUGCUCAGUCCCAACCUCGUCAGUGAUUUUCGAUUACCUCUAUCUACAUUCCUACAGUGGUGAGCCCUCAUGGUUAGAGGACCUAUAUUCAGACAUCUCCAUAUUUUGAGAGACUAUGUCAUUAUUUCUAGUUCAUUUUGAGUCAUUUGGGUACUUGUACCAACGGCUCUCUAGUUCAUGGAUUAGUAGAGGCUUUGUCAGACUAGUUAUCAGAUUGUGGUUGUGUUGAGGUUUCCAGUAUUAUGGUCAUUUGGACCGAGCAUUUUAUUUGUAUUUUCUUUCAUAUGAUAUAACUAUGCUAGUGUUUGAAUUAUUUCAUCUUGAAAUUAGUGUUAUUAGUAGAAACAGGCUCAAAGGGUUAGCUUGAGGCUACUUGUAGUCUUAAGCACCGUGUGACGUCUCGGGAGGUGAUUUCAAGUCGUUACAUCUUAAUACACAUUUUAUAUUUGUAUUUACAAAUAUUGAUUUUUUCUUUUCCUUGUUUAAUAAACGUAAGUCUUGUCGGGAACCACAUUUGUGGAUUCUAAAGGAUGGCUAACCCCCUCCUUUCGAAAUAAUUUGAAUCCUUAUUUAGAAUCUAAAUUGAUUUCGUGGAUUAAAAUAAAGUCAUACUUGUUAAUAAUCAAGUAGGUUUCCUCAUUUUCCUAAAAAUUAGGUGGCAACUCUGCAUAAAAAUCAAUUCUAUUAGAGUCCAAAAUAUCGUGCUUGUUUUAACCUUAGAUAAAAAUAGGGUAUGACAGUUUGGCGACUCUGUUGGGGAUUAAAGGUUCUAAUCAUUACAGAUUUAGGUAAAUAUUUAUGUUUUUAUACAUUAUUAUUUGUUUCAUUCUAGUUGUCUUGAUUUAUUUAAUUUGUAUGGCACAAGUUGUUUAUCUGUUAUUAUUUUGUAUAGAUUAUUUAUUUAUUUAUCGCUUUAUAUAAAUUGACAUCCAUUCAUAUUUCCUCUACUUUGGAGAACUGACACGCACACACAUUGUACACGUGGAUUGUACAUUGUACUUUCCCAAAAUUCUUUCAAAUCACCUUACUUUAGAGAGUUGGUACAUACGUGGGGUGAGCGAGAGUUUUGCUGUCGUGAAACCACAUGCCUUGUCAUAUAAGAAAUUCAAAUCUAUGUUUGCUCACUCUUAGUCAAACAUAGGAUAGAACUAAAACAAUACCUUUUAGGUACAUGCAUAUUAGUAAAUUUUGUCAAAACAUCAGAAGAGUUCACGAUCCAAGUGGCGCAUUAUCAGUCUCUGUACAUAUUUGAAAGAUGAUUGUUCUUAUAUAUUAACUACUUGCUCUAAAUUGGUUAUACUUUAGUAUGAAAGGUGUAAUCUAAUCCUUAUUUUGUAUAACGGAUCAGUUAAAAGAUGCACCUUUGCAACAUCGUCGAUAGUUGCAUAUAGGAUUGAACUACGUUUUGACCUGAUUCUUGUACUGACAAGAUACGUAGGCAACCCUAUGUUAGGAUUCAGUCUCUUCACUAUUUUAGAAUAAUUUCUCUGGUAUUAAAAACUGGAGAAAUUUUCUAAAAUAGUUCAAAGAUGCUCUCUGCUGGCCUUUAAGAGUGCAAAUCAAUAGCUUUUCAAAACCCAAAUCUUAAUAACAUUAGUGCCUAGCCGGUCUACCUCCAGAUCCUCACCUGAUUUUUGUGUGAUAAUAUGUAGCUUCUUCUUUCGAAUGUCAUAAUCCAUUAAACUAAUGGCGUAUCGAUCUUGACUUUCUAAAGCAAUGGUUCAAUAUUUUUUCAGUUAUAAUAACUCUACCAACAACUAUUAUGGACUCAAAAAGAAUUUAUUUUUAUACAGUUUGGCAACUCUGUUGGGGAUUAAAGGUUCUAAUCAAUAUAGAUUUAGGUAAAUAUUUAUGUUUUUAUACAUUAUUAUUUGUUUUAGUCUAAUUAUCUUGAUUUAUUUUAUUUGUGUGGCACAAGUUGUUUAUUUGUUAUUAUUUUGUAUAGAUUAUUUAUUUAUUUAUCGCUUUAUAUAAAUUGACAUUCCAUUCAUAUUUCUCUACUUUGGAGAACUGACACGUACACACAUUGUACACAUGGAUUGUACAUUAUACUUUCCCAAAAUUCUUUCAAAUCACCUUACUUUAGAGAGUUGGUACAUACGUGGGGUGAGCGGGAGUUUUACUGUCGUGGAACCACAUGCCUUCUCAUAUAAGAAAUUCAAAUCUAUGUCUUCGCACCCUUAGUCAAUACAGGAUAGAACUAAAACAAUACCUUUUAGGCACAUGCAUAUUAGUUAAUUUUGUAAAAAUGUCAGAAGAGUUCACGAUCCAAGUGGCGCAUUAUCAAUCUUUGUACAUAUAUGAAGGAUAUACAUUAUGUACUUGCUCUAAAUUGGUUAUACUUUAGUAUGAAAGGUGAAAUCAAAUCUUUAUUUUGUAUAACGGAUCAAUUAAAAGAUGCACCUUUGCAACAUCGUCGAUCGCUGCGUAUUGGAUUGAACUACGUUUUGACCUGAUUCUUUUCCUGACAAGAUACGUCGGCAACCCUGUGUUAAGAUUCGGUCUCUUCACUAUUUUAGAAUAAUUUUUCUGGUAUUUAAAACUAGAGCAAUUUUUUUAAACAGUUCAAAGAUGCUCUCUAAUGAACUUCAAGAGAGCAAAUCAAUAGCUUUUCAAAAUCCAAAUCUCAAUUACAUUAGUUCCUAGCCGGUCUAACACCAAAUCCUCAGCUAAUUUUUUGUAUUACCCAAAACCUUCCUUAAGCCUAAAUUGUAUCUCUAUAAGAUUAAGGAAUGGCUUCCAAAGUGAGUAGUAUUUAAAUCAUAUAGAGUUUUCCUAAUUUUGACUUUUUAUCAUGUGAAAAAUUGAAUUAGCUUUCCAGCUAUACCAAUUUCGUCCGAAUUCGGUAUCGAGGUGAGAAGUUAUGGUUGUUUUACUGAGAGCUAUCAGAACCACCGAGGUGCGACGGGCAAGUUGACGGACCGUCAAGCUUGCGACGGACCAUCGCUCAAGCCGUCGCAACCAAGGCAGUAAACCCAUUCACUGGCCAAGUACGACGGUCGGGCCGAUGGACCAUCGAGCUAGCAACGAACCAUCGCCCAAGUCAUCGCUACUAAGGCAGUGAGCCCCUAUUUUGGUCCAAGUGUGGCGGUCAGACCAACAGACCAUCGAGCCAGCGAUGGACCGUCACACGAGCCAGCGAUGGACCGUCACACGAGCCAUCGCAGAUCCCGUUCAGCAUUUUAAAUCUAUUUUUAAAAGGGUUUUUUGGUAUUUUUCACCCUUUUUAACACCCAGAUAUAUCAAAAAGAAGCAUAGAACUUCAGAUUAUUUCAUAGCAUCAAAAACUAGGGUUUCUCCCUCAAGAGCAAGACCCAAUUCCUUCUCCAAGAUUUCACUUUAGUUCUUUCAAAUUGAUUUAAGAAUCAAGGUCCCCAAGUCAAAACUUCAAGAACCCUCACUCAAGAGUACGAAAAAGAGUCUCAACUGAGCUUGCUCAUCUACAAGUCAUAAUCUAAGGUAUGUAGGGUUUGAACAAGGGUAACUCUUUCACCCUUGUGCCCAAAGGCUUACUUUAAAUACAAAAUUUCUGCAAUUUAUGAGAUUGACCAUGAAAUUAAAGUUAGGGUUUAUACCCCUUUACUAUUAUUUGCAAGAUUUUAAGAGUUCUCAUGGAUUAAGAGUUGAAUUUCAUGAUUUUGUUUAUAUUUCUAUGUCUAUUGAUGAAAUUUACAGAUUUUAAGAUGAUUUAUGAGUAAUUGCAUUACCAAGUAUGAAUAUUAAUUAUGUUUUGAUAUGAGACUGAUGAUUGGUUCAAUAGACCCCAUUUAAAGAUUGUUGUUCAAGAUUGUUUAUGCUACAAGCACCCCUUGGUUAGGUUAUUUUCAGAUUUCAAAUAAAGAUUUGACCCUUUUGGGUCUAAGCUAAGAUAAGAGUCCUCAUUACUUAUGAAUUAAAGUCAAGAGAAGUAUAUUUGGUCUUUAUUAUAGACCCUUGAAUUAUUUUAAGGUGGAUUUCCUAAAAGUUCUGAGCUUAAGUAUGAGAGUAGUAUUUAGCAUCGAGUUGGGCAUGAUUCUAAGGUCUCAAGCCCCAGAACUACAUGCCCUGUAGGUUUUUAAUUUACCCCAAGUGGUUUAAGAUAGUGAUCACUAAAGAUAUGGUUCUAUUCCGGUAGCAAGGGUAGGGUUGAUCUCCCCAACGUGGGCAAGACAUUGGACUUCAUGUGGCUCACAUGGUUUAUAUCUGUUAGAAGAAAAUCCCAAGUCCCAAAGUCCUAUAAUCUCUACAUUUUAAAGAAGAACCUUAUUCUCCACAAGAUAACAAGUUUUGAAAAUUAUUGUUUUAAGAUUCCUCUUGCUUACAAGUUUUGAGAAUAAGAUGGAGAACAUAGAUUUUAGAACUAAGUGUAAUGACUCACUAGAUUUGUACUAUAUGCUUCAAUAUACAUGAUUUAUGAGAUUUAGAUUUUAGUUUUACUCAAUCUGUGAGAGUCAUUCAUAUCAGUAUGCAUGUUUUAUAAAGAAUGAUAACAUUGCUUACUUAAAUGCAUACACCCCUAUAUACUCAGUACAUCCUCAAAGUACUGAUCCACAUAUAUGUCUGUGUACUACAUUGUCUCAUAAUGUAGGUUCAGGUGCUCAGUCCCAGCAGUGAUAGUGAUUCUCGAGUACCUUUAUCUAUACUCCACAGUUUAUGAGUCCUCAUGGUUCAAGGACCUAUUGCUCAAAUUUUCAGUUGUUAUUGCUUUCAGCUUAGUCAAGUUAGUUGGGGGUCUAUCCCAAUGAAUACCUAGUUCUUGAUUAGUAGAGGCUUUGUCAGACUAGAUUAUCAGUACGUUUAGACUUUCAGUAUUUUGACUGUUCAGACAAGUAUUUCUUCAUAUUCCCUUUAUGAUUAUGAUAUGACAGUACCAUCGUUUUUCCUUAUUCAUCUCAGAGUAAGUUUUAUAUGUAGUAGCAGUCUCAAAAGGGUUAGCUUGGGCUACUUGUAACCUUAAGCACUGUGUGACAUUCUGGGAUGAGAUUUUGGGGCGUUACAUUUUUUGCGAGAAUAUUUAGCUUCUUAUUUCGAAUGUCAUAAGCCAUUAAAUAUCGAUCUUCACUUUCUAAAGCAAGCGUUCAAUAUUUUUCAGUUAUAAUAACUCUACCAACCACAGAGAAAUAAUGUCAUAAUUCUUCCAAUGUCUACUUUUUCAAUCUUGUCAACAUACUGAAGUUGUGUCAAAGUUCUCCCCAUGCUUGACAUUCAUCCUCUCGAUCGUUUGAACGAAAUAAUUUUGAUGCUAAAAGCAGUUCUUUCCUGAUCAUCUUUUAUAUUAUUUUCAAGAAUUAUCAUCAUUCUUUUAUAAUUAUAUGUUUCAAAUACAAAUUCACAAAUUUUCCUAAACUACGCAAACCUGAUUCUUAUUUUCACAAGAUACAUAGGCAACCCUCAUUUGGGUUUAAUCAUAUUUUUAAAAAAAAAAGUAAAAUAUUGACUUGAUUAGUACCAAUACAGUUAGGAGUGUGCAUGAUAAAGAACAAAUUGGCAUGAUAUAAAGGACCGAUUUCAUGAUAAACUAUAGAUUAUUUUGAUACUUUUUAUCUCACUUGAGUGAUGUUUAAAAAAUUCUCUUGCAUACAUCUAAGACAAAAAUGAAGCCAACCUCGUCGUUUCAUGUGCAAUGUAUGGUGAGUUUUAGUUUAAUUCAUUGCAUUGCAUUGCUGAUCUAAAACUUGGCCAAAAUGUCUAUUGAGGUAAAAUUCUGAGUUUUAGUGGAUUUAGGAAAGGAUCAUAGUCCUUUUUUGACUUGAUUGUGUCUUCCACAGCCCACCAAGUGAACUUGAUCCCUAUAAUUUUGAUUUUUGAGACUAAAACCUUUUCUUUGGACAACCACAUCUGAGACUAUACCUUUUUUAGUGCUUACAAGCACUAUCUCUUGCUUGGCCCUACCUCAUCGAGCGCACUAACUAUGUGCAAAUUACGGACGAAUAUUCAAGAUCAAAGAUGCAGAAUGCAAAAAAUAUAUUAUCCCAGAUGAAAAAAAAUAAAAAGAAAUGACUUAAAAGGGUGCAAAACUACCACAAAAAAAGAAAAGAAAAAAUAACAAAAAAUAUGUAGUUUAUUUUAAAAAGGGGAAAACUCCAAUACAAGAUACAAAAGAAGUUGAAGCAAGUACAAAACAAGGAGCAACGAACGAAUUACAACAUAGAAGAUCACGUGUUAAAGUGCAAUAAACGUCGAAAGCACAAAUAUAGUGUAAUGCUCAUUGAGGAAUUAGUCACUUUCAUCCCAAAUAUUAUCCUACCUGUCCCAAAGCCUGUAUUACAAGUAGUUAACAAGUCCUACAAGAUCUUAUUUCAAGUUUUCUCAUAUUAAUGGUUACUUACAUGAAGGUCAAGCCUAUGAUAUCACAAUUGCAUGCAUUGAAUUUCUUUCUGAGUAUAAGUAUACUUCUCUAGAUGUCCCCAAAUUCAAACAAAAAUUACUCAAAUAUGUGCAAAAUGGAACUUUCAUUCUAAGAAAGGACGUUUGAAGCUUUAGGAUAGGUAAAGUCAAAAAUAUUUCUUUGAAUCAAGACGAACAAAUUUUGUCGGUACUUAGGCGUGUCUAAGGAACCACUUGAAACUAUGAGAGUUACCCUGAAGUCAAAUUUGAUUUGCCGAAAUAGAGAUGGGGGAAUUCCUAUGUACACUACUAAUUAUUGGUACCAACUGAAGUCAAGACACGAUCGUGUGUUCUUCAUCUUUCAACACUUUUUAUCAAGAAAACACAAAAAAAAUCGUUUAUUUUUUCAAGGUGCCUAAUUUCACAUACGGGCAUUUUUACUUUUCAUUCCAGGUGCCAAGUUUUUAAAUUACGGUCAUUUGACAUUUUAUUUCAAGCUUAAAUACCGAUAUUUUAUUUUUCAGUCAAGCACCCAUCUUUGAGUAUUUCUAUAUUUUUUAUAGUCCCGCCAAUAGAGAGGCUAUUACAUUUGUUUUCCUAGUUGAGAACCUUCUACAUUUCAAUAGCCCCAUCAAUUGAGAUGCUAUUAGAUUUCAAUCACCUCACUAGUUGAGAUUCUCAAUCUUCGUAGACAAUCGAAGGCGACAAUAAUCAUCAAUCUUUAUACACUAUUGAGAUGUCAUCUUCAAGUCUCCGUAGAUAAUCAGAGAUGUCGUGCUUUUUUUUAAAUAAUAAGACAUUUUUUUAGGUCUCUUUCAAAGGAGAUAAUGUCAUCAUAAAUCAUACACUGGGGAAAAUUUUCAGAGUUGCCUAAAAACAUUACCCUAUUUUCUUAUUUCAAAUUACAUUGACCUGAUUCUCGUAACAUUUGAGAUAUGUAGGAAGCUCUAUGCAGAGUUUGAUCUUCACAACUCAAUAAUCAUUCUUUCUCCCUAGCAAGCACAUAAUCUUACACCUCAUCAUAUCACAGCGAGAUACUGUGGCAAUUUUAAAAGGAGCAUAAAAAAUAUAUGAAUAUUUUCCUUUCCAAGCAAUCCUUUUUCUCAAUAACCAUUUCACAUGGGGGCGUCCACCCUAAAAUAAGACAAUUGAGUUAGUUGUCCCUCCAAUAAGAAAGUUAUGCACAUUUUUCUUCAAUUAAAUAUUUAUGCCUGCUUGCCUCUACUUGCACAUAUUGCACUACAUUUAUUUUUUUUAGCACUACAUGCUAUCUUUGUCUUUAUUUGUAUAUAUCACAAUGUAUUUAUUUUAUUAUUUUGAUCGCAUGUUAUAUUUGCUUUUACUUUCACUUAUCGCAAUGCAUUUAUUUUAUCAUUAAACACUCCAUGUCAUUUUUGUCUUUACCUACACACAUCCUAAUACAUCUUUUUUUAUUAUGUAAGUAUUGCAUGCCUCGCAAAUAUCGUAAAUGUAUUUAUUAUAUCAUUUAAGUACUGCAUGUCAUUUUUACCUUUACUGAUACAUAUCGCAAUACAUUUAUUUUAUUAUUUAAGCACUGCACGCACAUAUCGCACUGCAUUUAUUUUAUCAUUUAGGCACUGCACGCCUCGCAAAUAACACAAUGCAUUUAUUUUAUCAUUUAAGCACUGCAUGCCAUAGUUGUCUUUACUAGCACUAGAUAUGCAUUUGUUUCACAAUUUAAGCACUGGAUAUCAUCUUUGUCUUUGCUGACACAUGUUACAAUGUAUUUAUUUAUCAUUUAAACACCAUGUAAUCUUUGGCUUUACUUGCACAUCUCGCAAAUGCAUUUAUUUUUAUCAUUUAAGCACUAAAUGUUAUCUUUGUCUUUAUGGGCACAUAUUGUAAUGCAUUUAUUAUUUUAUUAUUUAAUAUUGCACACACAUAUAGCAAUGCAUUUAUUUUAUCAUUUAGGCACUGCACGCCUCGUAAAUAUCGUAGUGCAUUUAUUUUAUCAUUUAAGCACUGCAUAUCAUUUUGGUCUUUACUUGCACAUCUCGCAAAUGCAUUUACUUUUAUCAUUUAAGUACCGCAUGUCAUCUUUGCCUUUACUAGCACAUAUCGCAAUGUAUUUAUUAUUUUAUUAUUUAAGUACUACAGACAAAUAUCGCAAUGCAUUUAUUUUAUCGUUUAGGCACUGCACGCCUCGCAAAUAUUGCAAUGCAUUAAUUUUAUCAUUUAAGCACUCCAUGUCAUUUUGGUCUUUACUUGCACAUCUCGCAAAUGCAUUUGUUUUAUCAUUUAAGCACUACAUGUCAUCUUUGUCAUUACUGGCACCUAUCACAAUGCAUUUAUUUUAUUAUUUAAGCAUUGCACGCUCAUAUGACAAUGAAUUUAUUUUAUCAUUUAGGCAUUGCACGCCCUACAAAUAUCGAAUGCAUUUAUUUUAUAAUUUAAGCACCUCAUGUUAUUUUUGCAUUUAUUUGCAUAUCACAAUGCAUUUAUUUUGUUAUUUAAGCACUACAUGCUUUGUCUUUACUUGCACAUAUUGCAAUGCACUUAUUUUACCAUUUAAGCAUUGGAUACUAGCUUUGCCUAUACUAUUUUUUCUUAAUUAGUUAAGCACUGCAUGGUAUCUUUAAUUUAAAAAAAAAAAAAAAAGACAAAAAAUCAAGCUUAAUUUUUUGUUAUUGUUUUAUUGAGUAAUACUUCUUAAUUUGAUGCAUUUGUCACCAUAAUUUGAGGAUAAAUUGGGUCCGUCCUUCCUAAAAUAGAAUAUUUUGGGGUUAGUCUGUCCUUUAAUUAAACCUUCUAUGCAUGUCUAUCUUCAAUUGAAUAUUUUAUUUCCCUUUAGUUAAAAUCAUGCAAUGCCUUUAUUUAGUAGUCUUUAAUUUAGUUAAGCACUCCAUGCAUUUUUUUUAAUUUCUUGAAAAAAAUCAAGCCUAGUUACUCGUUUGACUUUAUUGAGUAUUGUUUUUCAGUUUCAUAAAUUUUGCAGGUACAGAAUUUGAGUAGAUAUUGGGUUCGUUUAGUCAAAAAUAGGACUUAUUGAGAUAACAACUCUAAAUUGGAGUUUGCUCGAAUUUUUUUUAUCAAAAAUAAUUUGUUUUACCAAGCAAAAUUGGCUACACGUCAACGUUUUCAUCUGAAGACUUCUAUAUCAUCUUCAAACGAAAAGGGGCAACUGUUGACACCCAAUUUUGGCUCUCCAUGCUUAAAAUUAACGCAUUUAGUCUUCCUGAUCGUUAAAUGACACAAAAUAUAAUUUUUCACACAUUUUUUACAAUUGUUAAUAAAUUAUUGACAAUCUUCAAUAUUUUAGGUUUUUAUCAAUUCAUUGUAAUAUUUUAAUUUUAUAUAAUUUAUUGAUAAUUAUCCUUAAUUUCAUAAAUUUUAGAAUUUUUAUUUGUUUAUUAUCAUUUUAAUAUUUUUGCACGGUCAUCUGCAUACAUACAUAACAUAACACUGCAAAUUUUUUUCAUAUUAUAAUUUUAGCUGUUUAUAGUGUAAUAUAUUUUUUAAAGAUAUUAUAUUUGUUGUUUACAUUUUUCUGUAAUUAUAAAUCAACAUUCAUAUUUUUGUACAUUAUUUAAGACGACCUACAACGAUAGUGUCGACUCGAUUAUUUUAAUACACAAACCAAUAAAUCAAUCAAAUCAAAAUUUCAUCUCUUUUAAAAAGUGACAUUUGAGGUGACGGGUUGAAGUUUUCAUUUAUUAGAUAAGAAAAUCUUUACAUAUUGGACAAGUUUUUUUUGGUUAAUUACUUUUGGAUUAAGGAUAUUUUAUAAAGACAAGGUGGGACACUUUUUAAUUUUUUGAACAAUAAAAGGGCCAAUUUUAUUUAUAAAUAAGACAAGGUCUUAUUUUUAUACACACUUUAACACACAACACAUCCCAAAUUUCCCCUCCUUUCCUAUUUUUCUUUCUAAAAACCAACCUCCUCCCUCACCCAUAUGUCGGCACCGCCGAAUCAGACCACUGGAUGGCUGGUAUUUUACUGCCACCACUGCGCCACCCCUCUUUUCCUCCGCAUUUCCAGCGAGUUCCAGCCUGAGAUAACACCAGCUACCUUUUUUGCUAGUCUUCUCCGUCGCUACUUCACCGGAGGUGAUGGACGAUGAAACUCAAACACGAAAUAACCCUUCUCGUCUCUCUCUUUCCAACCCCACCGGUGAAAUCCGUCGCAUCCAUCUCUGUCGGUGAGAAUUCCGGCCAAACUCAGGUAGAAACCUCCUUUUUUCCCUAUUCUCCCACCGUUUAGUAUUUUUACUCUUCAUUUAUGGAGUUCUUGACUAUAUCAUAAAUGGAGAAAGUUGAUUGAAUUUUUCACUUUCAAGCGUUACUCCGGCGAUGUCGUUGAAGCAACGUCGGCAGCCUCAAUUGCUUCAACUUUUCUUCUUCAGUGAACUGAGUUUUGGAUGUUGUGUAUUUGUUUUAUGUAGAUCUGGCCGACAAGAUGCCAUCCCUGGUGACCUCUUCUUUUAUAUAUAUUCAUAUAUGUUGUAUUUAUUUGCUUGACCUAUUUGUUGCUGUUCAUAUCAUUAAUUUUUAAUUUUCUAACAAAUUUGUGGUUUGUUCUGGCAAUUUGGUUGUUGCUUUGCUGGUUUUGUGGAUGCUAUUACCUCUGGUUUGGUUGUUGCUUUGCUAGUUUCAUGGUUGUUAUUGCCUCUGUUUUGGGGCUAAUUACUAUUCUCUCUUGGGGUAACUACAUUACAUUUCACCCCUUGCAAUUUUAUUAAAUUAAUAAAAGACAGACACAACAUAAUAAAUUGGCUGAUGAGGAAAUUUUUCGUCAAUAUUUAUAACAACCUAAAAAUUUGAUGAAAUAUGUAAAAUUUAUGAUUUUGUAUGAUUUGACUAUUUUACCCCUAUUCGUAAUUACAUUAUGGUAUUUCUGGGGUGUGGGAGUGAUUGACAUGGUUUUCGAUGCAUUUUGGUACCAUUUAUACAAUAUUGUGGUUUUUGAUGGUUUCGAGAGCCUUUUAUGUGAAUAUAUUUUGAUCCGUGCAAUGGAUGACUGAACAGACUGUCAGCAUAUCUAAAAUAUCAAUUUUAUGCUAGGUAUACCUUUGGUUCGGGUUCCGGUGCACUUGAGCUCAUUUCGACCUAUUGGUCAAAAAGUUGAAAAAUUGAAACUAUGAGUGUGGGACCCACCCAUAUUUAGUCAAAACAACCUCAGAUGAAGAAUUUGACUUCUCCAAAAGAUCCAAAACGUUGAUUUUAAUGUGGUGACAUAUUUGGUAUGAUUUUAUGACUUUUAAAGCUCAUUUCGACCCUCAGUUUGAAAAAUUGUGAUUUUGAGUUUCGGAGGUCAACUUUGUGAAAAUGACUUUUUUUGAAAAUCUGAUAUCACCAUUGAGUCCGGUGCAUCGAAUUUAGUGUUUUUACAUAGUUCAUUUGCAUAUAUCGGACUUCGAACGAAUUUUGAGCACCCCGUCGGAGUCUGGGUUGGACUUUAAAAAGAAAACUGUUGUUAUAGUAGGGGUGACAAUUUCAGCCCAUGUUUGUAAAAAGAGUCCAUUUAACCCAUAUUUAGUGAAUUGGAUCACUCAUAUUUCAAAUGGGUAAAUAUGGAUUUCGACUCAUUUUAAAAGCUAAUACAAAUAUGAACAAAAUGGGAAAAUAUGGGUACCUAUUUAAACAUAGAGAUCACCCACCUAUGCUUAAAGUUUCAAUUUUUUUUCUUUUCUAGUUUCUUUUCUUCUUCUUUUUUUCUUUAAUUUAUUUUUUUUCUUUUUCAUUUUUUUUAGUCAUUCCUUAUAAUUUCUUUUUUUCUUUUCCAUUUUUUCAUCUAUUUUUUUAUUUUUUAUUUUUAUUUCUUUUUUCUUUGUAUUCUUUUUUUUUUCGCUUUCCCCUUUCUCAUUCUUAUUUCAUCAUUCGUAUUCGCUUGAGACCUACAUGGGUUAAUAAAUAUAAGUUUCUAAUUAUCCCAUUUAGCCAAUAUAAUUCAUAAUAUCUCUUAUCAAUUAAAUAUAAUCCAUAGUCUCACUUCUUUAUUAUUAUUUUUUUCUAUCUUUUAUUUCUCUUUCUUUUUUUUUAAUUUACUAUUUUUUUCUUUCUUUUUUCCUUUAAUUUACUUUUUUUUCUUUCACUUUUUCCACUUAUUUUUUACUCGUUUCUUACACUUUUUUUCUUUCUUCUUUUUCAUCAUUUUUUUCUUUUUCAAUGUUAUUUCUUUGCAUUCUUUUUUUUGUAUUUCUGUUUGCCCCUUUUUCAUUCCUGAUUCGUCAUUUUUGUCAUUUUUCUUAUUUUUUUUUAUAUUCUUUUACUUAUCUUUUUUUGUCAUUGCAUUUUAUAUUUUUUUACUUUAAAUUUAUUUGUAUCAUACUAUAUAUUUCAAAUAAAUUUAUUAUUUGUAUUUGAAUAGUUUAGUAGUCAAUAUGUGCAAUUUAUCAUUUGUAUUUAUAUACAAAUAAGUAUAUGAAUUAAAAUCAACAUGAGUUGUGGUAUAGUGGAUGGGGCUGCUCCAUCCUUAACCAGAGGUUGAGGGUAUGAUCCUGGUUAUGGAGAAAACUCUGUUGGGAGCACUGCCACCUUAAUGGGCCCUGCAACGCCCUAUCCGAAUUAGUCGGGGCUCCAAUGCAGGCACCGAACACCGGAUGAAAAAACAAAAAAAAAGUAUAUGAAUUAAUUGCAUUUUCUUGAGACUAAAAUAUUUAUGGCUGAGGAUCCACAUAGCCCUCGAAUUAUAAAUGUUGGGCGAAUAUAAAUCAAUAUGCGCUUAUGGUAUUUUCGUUAUCAUAAAAAAAAAGAAGGAAACCAAAAAUAGAAAAAAAAAAAAAGUAGAAAGAGGUAGAAGUUAAAGAUAGAAGAGAGAAAAAAGCGUAAAGAAAGAAUUGAAGAAAAAAAUAUGAAGAAAAUCAAAAAGAAAAAAUAAUGAAAAAGGAGAAAAGGAAAAAGAAAAAAGAUGAUGGGGAAAAUAAAUAUACUGAGUGGUUACAAUAUUUUAGUCAUCAUCCAUAAUUUAUACUCGACUUAACCCUGUUCUUCGAAAAUAAGAAAAAUAUAAAACAUAAAAUACAACCAAAAAAGAAAAAAAUGAGAAAGAAGUAAAAAAAAAGAAAAAAAGGAGACUAAAAAGGAAAAGAAAAAGAAAGAGAAACAAAGGGUAGAGGGUAGAGAUAGAAGAGAGGGAAAAAAAAAUGACAAAAAAAUGAAACAAAAAAAACUAGAGGCUACAUAUAGAAGAGAGACAAAAAAAACUAAAAAAAAAAAGAAAUGGAAAUAAAGUCAAGUUGAUAUGAUAUAGAAGUUUUAAGUUUUUGACUUAGGAGUUAAAGUGGGUUGAAACCAUUUUUACCCAAUCCAUAUUUGACCAAAUCCAUAUCUACCCAUAUUUAUAUGGGCGGAUUGCAAUCCAAACCAUUUUUGCUUAAUCCAUAUUUAACCCGUCCAAAUCCAAUCCAAUCCGCCUAUUUGCCACCCCUAUGUUAUAUCUAUUUUUCUGUUAUAUAUAGCAGAUUUUUUCCCUUUUUUGGCCCAUUUUUUUCAUUCUUUCAUUUUGCCUCUUAAGAGUUAGACCCUAAAAUAGUGUGAGAGCUUAAAAUUGUAGCUUGUGGGAGCUUGGAAAGCUAGAUUAACAUUUAUUUUUUGAUUUUAUUAAAGAUUUAAGGUAAGAAUUCACCCUUUUCUUAGAAAUUUCUUGAUUAAUAUCUCAAAAAUCUAAAAAAAUUUAGGGCUUGAUUUUAAACUCUAAUUUCACUAUUUUUCACUUGAAUAAUGUUUUUAUCUUAUAAUUACUAGUUUUUCAUCAAUUUAACCUUCAAAACAACUCUGAUUCUUGAUUUUAACUCGGAUUUUAAAGAUUUAACCCAGUAAAGCUCAAAAAUGGUUUUUCUUCAAUUUGAACCUCAUUUUUUUACUCGAUUUGACUUGAAUUUUCAGUUAUAGGUUCCUAAAAAUAUGGUAAAUACAUUUUUGAAGUAAAGUUCCAAUUUUACCCUUCUUUUUUGAAAACUCAUUUUGGUGGUUCAUUUUGAUCCUGAACCAAAAGUAGUCAAUAUAGGUACCGUUGAUUGUAUUUUGAUUUUUAGAUUCCAUAUUGGAUGUUUUUAGUGAGUUUGGAAUCAUUCGUGGAAAGUAAGGUCAUGGGUUCAAAGUGUAGCGGACCAAUUUCGACAUUAGAGGUAGGUUAUGACUUAACUCUUUCAGACUGGACUGAGUAGAAAAUGAUGGUACAAAAUGUAUAUUAAGGGUGGAAAAUAAUCAUAAAAAUGGCUAUAUAUGUGUUGUGCCCGUGUGGGGGCCCAUAUGUGAUAUAAUUGUCGAAAUUAAGAUAUUAUGUGAUGUGUGUGACUGUAUGGAGUCCUGUAUGAUGUUGAUAGCCCUAAAUACAUGUGAAUAACCGUAUUGUGUUGUUUAAAUGCCUAAAAUGGUACCAUUGGUGUAUUGUGAUAUAUUCAUACUUAUUGGUAUAUGAGACAUGUGGAAAUUUAGAGAUGAAAUGGAAGUAAUGAGUGGAUAUUGGCUCACAUGUUUGUGGAAUUGUAACAUUGUGAUUAGUUGUGGAAAUACAUCGUGUGGAUUGGUUGUAGAAAUACAUCAUAUGGAUUGGUUGUGAAAAUACUCAUUUUGAAUGGUUCUGAACAUUGAAUCGCAAUUCUCUUAUCAUCAUACACAUUAUUUCACUUAUUUAUUUUAUUGCUUUACAUGUAAUAGUUGUCAUGUAUGUGUACUUGAUUUGUGUCUUUUGUUAUGUAUGUGCUUUGGAAAUACUGAAAAUACUGGAAUACUAGAUAUUGGUAUCGGAUAUUGGAUUUAUGAACCAUCUUCGAAGGAUCAUAUAGGAGAAGAGUUGUGGAUAUUGGUAAUCUUGAGGCUAUGUGCCAAACUUGUGGCAGUAUGCCAAACUCGAGACUAUGUGACAAACUCAAGGUUGUGUUCUAAUCCCAUGCAUCAUCAGAUAUAUUGCACCCACUUUAUUGUGUUUAUGUUGUGUUUGAAUUCCCAUACUGGUUUGUCAUCUACCUAUUUGUUCUAUAUCUUGACUUGUUAAUAUCAAAUUGUUCUACCUUCCUUUAACUAUACUUGAUGAUCUUGAUGAUACAUGUCCCUCUUUUGUCCUACUUAUCUGUGAUAUUGUGUAUAUUUGUAUUCCUAUUAGGUGUGCAGUGUAUUAUAUGCGGAUAUUGUAGAACUUUUAGUGCAAGCGGUGUGGGCUACCAUUGUGGGAUAUUUUCUUAUUAGAGGUAAUGUGCCCUUAGUGUAUAUUUUAUAUAAUUUAUUUACUACUUUGCUUUGUCGGCCUAUAAUACCUACUGAGUAUAAUUGGACCGUACUCACGCCUAUUGCACCCUUUGGGUAAAGGUCCUAGCUCGAGAGUGCCUCAGUUUGCUUGAGUCGAGCAAUUGUUGGAGCUUCCAAGGUAGCGAUGGGGCAUUCAUGCGUUCAGAGUUCACGUCUAUCUUUUUAUAGUAGUUAUAUCUUUAUUAGUAUUUGAGAUAGAUAUUAUUUUGUUAUGGUUAUUUUUCUAAUGUAUUUGACUCCCGAAUUAUAUUAGUAGUUCUUACACUAUUCACAGCUGGUUUGGACAUGAUUGGUAUUUUGGAUAAGUUCAUUCCACAUUGUUAUGAUUACUUAUAUGAUUCGACUUUGUUCUAGAAGCCUUACCUUAGGGUAUUUCUAUCUUUUCCUUUUUUGUAUCAGUUUGGGUGAUAGGAUUACUUAUCAAAGGAUGCUGCGACAAAUGCCAUCAUGACCCUCAUUUUUUUGGUUAUAACAAAUUGGUAUCAUUGGUCUCAACAGUUUAAGAAUAGGAUGUCUAAUAGAAUCUCACAGACGUUCAUAUCUAUCUUCGAGGGGCUAUAAGACGUCUUUAGGAAACUUUCCUCAUUUUAUUUUUUACUGUGUGACGUUCUUUCAUACCUUAUAUUCUGAGUUAUGUUUCACUCUUUCUGCAUGAAUCAUGUUGCAUAUACGGCCUAUCAGUUGAAAGAUGUUUCUAGAGGUUGGAGGAGGUGGCUUGUGAGUUGUAGGCCUUGUAAUUCUUCUGAGAUGACUUAGGAUCAAUUCGUCAAGGCUUUUCUAGAGAGAUUUGUGCCUUUCAAUUUGAAGGAUCGUAUACUGAAUGAGUUUGAUCAUUUGAAGCAUGGCUCUAUGACAGUUGUUAAGUAUGAGGCACGCUUUCAUGCCCUAUCUAAAUAUUCCUAUGAUAGCAUUUCUAUCGAGACUGAGAAGAUUCAAAAGUUUUGAAGGCUUUGGAUGUCUUCCUUCAGUUGGCUACGUCUCAGAUGGUUGUGUUUGUGGCCUUUUUAGAGUAUUGUGGAUCAUGUUAAUAUGACAGAGGGUAUUCUUAGUACAUCUCAGGGAGGCGCCAAGAAGGCGCGAUGUUUUGGUGAGUUCAAGAGUUAAACCUCUCUAGGCUGAAAUUUUAGAGGUUCUCAUGGAUACUAUGGUAGGCCAUUGCAGGCAGCUUCAUAGAGCUCAUGUAGUAGACCUUCUAGUUCAUCAGUUUAGGGUGACCGUUCGGGCCUAGUUGUACCUUCUCUUGUUGAUACUGGUCAUAGAGGUUUCUAUAUAUGUGAUGAGAUUGUCCAUGUGGCUAAGAACUAUCUCCGCCAGGUGGUUUGGGCUAUGCCUAUUCCAGUUGUGAGGGGUAGGGGUGCUACUACAGAUGCAAGGGGCAAAGGUAGCGAAGAUCGAGGGGGUGGUUGUGGGGCCACUCAAGCAGUUGGUGGUCAUGGGACUACCCAGGCAGUUAGUAAUAUAUUAUACUAGCCAGACUGGAGGUAGAGGCUCCAAAUAUUAUAAUUACAAGUAUAGUCCCUAUUUUUUUCAGGCCUGCAUCUAUAUUAUUUGAUCUCAAAAUGACUUUCUCUUAUGUGUCUGUGUAUUUUUCCUCGGGUUCUGAUUCUGUUAGUGCGCCUCUUACUAUGCCUAUUCGUGUAUCUACCCAGUAGGUUAUUCUUUAGUGGUGGAUAGAGUGUACCUAUCUUGUGUUGUUUUGCCUCCUUCCUUGGAUUUUGUCUGUGUCAUCCGUGAGUGUAUGGAUGUGUUCCCUACGAACUUAUUCGGUAUGCCUUCGGAUUGAGAUAUUGAUUUUGCUAUUGAUGCUGAGCCAGGAACCAAGCCCAUCUCUAAUCCUCCUUAGAGGAUGUCCUCAAUAGAGUUAAAGUAACUGAAGGGUUAGUUAAAGGAGUUGUUGGACAAAGGAUUUAACUGACCUAGUGUAUCGCAUUAGGGCGCGUAUGUCUUAUUUGUGAAGCAAAAGGAUGGGUCUAUGCGGAUGUAUAUUGAUUAUUGGCAGUUGAAUAAGGUGGUGACGGUUAAGAAUAAGUAUCCUCUUUCUCACAUCGAUGAUUUAUUUUAUCAGCUUCAGGGCAUUGUAGUAUUUUUAAAGAUUGAUUUGCGAUUCAGUUAUCACCAAUUGAGGAUUAGAGCUUUGGAUAUUCUAAAGAUAAAUUUUCGGGCUCGAUAUAGUCAUUAUGAAUUCUUGGUCAUGUCCUUCUCGUUGACCAAUACCCCUGCUACGUUCAUGGAGUUGAUGAAUCGGGUGCCUCAAUCGUAUCUUGACUCCUUUAUUAUUAUAUUUAUAGAUGAUAUCUUGGUUUAUUCCAAGAGUGAGGUUGAGCAUGAGGAGCAUUUGUAGAUCACUCUUUAGAGAUUGAGGGAUGAAAAGUUGUAUGCAAAGUUCUCUAAGUGCAAGUUUUGGUUGUAGUCUGUUUCUUUCUUGGGUCAUGUGGUGACUAAGGAAGGUAUUAUGGUUGAUCCAGCCAAGUUUAUAGCGGUUCAUGAUUGGGCUAAACCUACUUCACCUAGCGAGAUUCAAAGUUUUAUUGGCUUGGCAGGUUAUUAUCGGCGUUUUGUUAAGGGUUUUUCAUCUAUUGUAGCUUCAUUGACCAAUUUGACCAAAAAGAAGAUUUAUUUUCAGUGGUUCGAUGCUUGUGAGGCAACCUUUCAUAAGCUUAAGAAUUUGUUAAUUCAAAGUCUAUAUUGGCUUUGCCCAAGGAGGGCAAGGGCUUUACCAUCUUUUGUGAUACUUCAGGCGUUGGGUUAGGUAUUAUGUUGAUGCAAGAGGGUAAGAUGAUUGCUUAUGUAUCUCGUCAGUUGAAACCUCAAUAGAAGAAUUAUCCUACCCAUGAUUUGGAGUUGUGCGCGGUUGUGUUUGCUUUGAAGUUGUGGAGGCACUAUUUGUAUGGAGUCCAUUGUGAGAUCUUCUCAGAUCAUAGUAGCCUUCAGUAUUUAUUUACCCAGUGAGAUCUUAAUAUGAGGCAGCGUCGUUAGCUUGAUUUGUUUGAGGAUUAUGACUUGACCAUUCUCUAUCAUUCGGCAAGGCAUAUGUGGUUGUUGAUGCCUUAAGCCAAAAGUCGACUAGCAUGGGUAGCUUGGCUCAUCUUUUGAGCCAAGAGAGGCCUUUAGCCUUAAAGGUUCAUUCUUUAGCUAACCAUAUGGUUAGGUUUGAUAUUUUAACACCUAUGCAUAUUUUGACAUUUGUGAAGGCUAAAUCUUCUUUGAUAGAGCAGAUUCGAGUUCAUCAGUUUGAUGAUAUUGGAUUGAGGUUGAUUCGAGAUAAGGUGUUAAGUGGGGAAGCUUAGGAAGCCUCACUUAAUUCAUAUGGAGUUUUAAGGAUUGGGGGCUAAGUUUGUGUGUCGAGAGUAGGUGAUUAGAUUAGGUUGAUCUUGGAGGAGGCCCAUUGUUUCAGAUAUUUUAUCCAUCCAGGUGUAACUAAGAUGUAUCGUGAUUUGAGGCAGUAUUACUGGUAGGGUGGUAUGAGGUGAGAUAUAGUAGAUUUUGUGGCUCGUUGCCUAUGUUUCCAGCAGGUGAAGGCGGUCAUAUGAGGCCUGGUGGGUUGCUUCAGAGGUUAUCCAUUCCCGAGUAGAAGUGGGAACAGAGCACCAUGGACUUUGUGACUGUUUUGCCUCAUAUAUCUCAUAGUUUUUACAGUUUUUGGGUAUUCGUGGAUCGAUCGACCAAGUCAACGCAUUUUAUUUUAGUUCAGAUCUUAUUCAGUUCUGAAAGGUUGGCCCAAGGUUCAAGUCUCAUUCAGUAGUUAGAGGUUGGCCUUUAUCUAUAUUAGUGAGAUUGUGCAUUUGCAUUGUGUAUCAUUGUCCAUUUUUUUAGAUAGAGGUUCUGUGUUCACAUCUCACUUUUGAAAGACUUUUCAGGAUGAGUUGGGUACUUAGGUUGAUCUUAGCAUGGAGUUCACCCCCAGACUGACGAUUAGCCAGAGCGGACUAUUCAGAUUUUAGAGGAUAUGCCCCGAGCAUGUGUGAUGGAUUUUGGUGGCCAGUGCAAGCAGCAUUUGGCUUUAGCUGAGUUUGCAUAUAAUAAUAGCUACCAUUCUAGUAUUGAUAAGUUCCGUUUGAGGCAUUGUAUGGUAGGCUUUGUCGCUCGCCACCUGGUUAGAUAAGUUCCGUUUGAGGCAUUGUAUUCUAGCCAUGUCGGAUAUUUUGUGACCUCCACAAUCUUAGACUGGAUUUAUUUUUUCACUUCUUCCUUGAUCUUUAGACUUAAAUCUGACUUAAAUUUACGCAUUUUUUGCUUGACUGGAUCAAACUCAAGAUUUAUCAGUAACUUAUGUGACACAAUGCUAGUGCUCAAUCCCAGCAUAUCAUCACAGGACCAAGCAAACACAUCAAUGUAUUCCCGCAACAGGUGAAUGAGCUCUCUCUUUUGUGCUUCCGCCAAGUGGACACUAACACUUGUUUCUUUGAUUUCAUCAUGAUCUCUCAGGUUAACUGUUUCAGUUUCCUCUAGGUUGGGCUUCUCCCAGUUCUUAAACUCUUCUAUACCGUCAACAAUUAUUUCUCAUCACUUUUCUUCCAAUCAUCAUCAUUCCCCUCAUUUUGUUCGUCUAAGUUUUGACAUGACAUGACAUUGGCAGGUUUUGAUUUAUUGUUACUGUAAUAAAAAAACAAACCAAGUUAGAUGAUAAUAAGAUAAUAAAAUAUACGAAUAAUGGUGUUUUGAAAAAUAUUUUUAAAAAAAAUAAAGGAAGGCCUUUUCAUUGAAAUUUGAGAGAUAAUUACAAACUAUGACUCAUGACUCACGCAAACACAAGCCCAUGCCUUUUGAAAGCUGUAAAAAUAUGAAAGGAAAAUUUGAGAUGUAAAGGAUGGAUCGCGGGGUCUCCACCGGAUCAUCGACAAUUUUAAAAAAUAUUAGUAAUUACCCUUUCAUCUACCACAAUGGGUGACGGGUUAUGAAUGGAGUGGAGGUCCAGUUUUACAAGGCCUCCCCUGGUGCAAUCUUCUUCACCCCACUGGAAUUUGGGAAAUCUUCUGGUACAUUAUUAUAUUCCUCAAACAGAUUUCCUAUCACAUCCCUAAGACCAUCAUCAUUCGACAUCUCACGUAAGGAAAUGACUGGUACAGAAGCGGUAAGGGCCUAAACAGACUCGCCUCUGACUUAUUCUCAAUCUCAUCCUUCUUGGUAGGCCGAUAUCCUAACCCAUACUUAAAGGCUUUCUAUAGGAUCAUAACGGGCUCAAUAAUUCCUUGCAUAUUCUUACCCAAACCUCGACCAACAUCACAGUCGCAAUCAUUUUGUAGACAAAAGGCAUUGGAGCUUUGAGCAUCAGAUCCUUUUCUACAGCAUUUACAAUUUCCACUGUAUAGAAGCUACUACCCUUUGGAACAUCUUUAAUCACCGUCACAUAACCAUUAGGAUGAUUCACUUGGCUUCCUUCCCCUUCGAUGACUAUUUCAUGAUCCUUCCAAAUGAAUUUCAAUAACGGAUGAGGAGAUGAUGAAACUGCCUUUGCACCAUGUAUCCAUGUUCUUCCCAAGAGCAGGUUGUAACUAGGAUAAAUGUCCAUAACAUGAAACUUAGUCUUGAAUUUAGCAAGUCCCAUUUUGGAUGUGUAAAUCAUUUUCACCUAUGGUAUCUCUCUGCCUUCCAUCAAAUGCUCUCACAUUUACGUGGCUUUGCCAAAUUUUCCCUAAAUCAUAGCCUAUUUGAACCAACGUGGAGAGAGUACAAAUAUUUAUACUAGAUUCGUUAUCUAUCAAUACCUGAUUAAUCACAUAGUCUCGACAAAUGACAGUGACGUGCAAGGCCUUGUUAUGCAUCGCUCCUUCAAAUGGAAACUCUUCAUCGUUGAAUGCUAUGCGAUGACUUCCCACAAUAUUUCCUAUCAUUGCAGCCAGGUUCUCAACACCCAGCCCUGUGGGAACAUACGCUUCACCUAAGACCUUCGAUAAAGCCUGUCGGUGGUAUUGUCAACUCAUUAUUAGUGUCAAAAUGGAAAUUUGAGCUGGAAUCUUCUCUAAAUGUUUGACAAUUGAAUAUUCCUUUGGUUGCAUACAUUUCUAAAAUUUCUCAGACUCCCCUUCAGUGAUUGGUCUUUUCUGUGAAUCCUUUUUGUUGGUCAAUUCUUCAGGAAUGUAGCAUCGUCCCAAUCACGUCAUCCCUUGGACAGCAGCGGUCUGUACAGUAAAUUCUUUCCUUGGUGGGAGAGUGUACACUUGAUUUGGGGCCAUCAUCACUAUAAAUGAGGCUCUUUCGUUGACACUUAAGGCAGCCACAGUUCUUUCUAUCUUUUCUAUCUCUUCUGCCUUUUUAUGCUUUUCUGAAUUCACCUUAGUAAUAGUCUUGUCAGAUGUCCAUUCUCCUUCUAUUUCAAUCAUGUUAACUAUAGGUCCCCCAUGAUUAGGCAAUGGGAUACUGUUAACAUUUAGCGUCGGUGACUGAAGCAUGAUGACCUUUUGAUCAAUCAGAUCUUGGAUCUUAUGUUUCAAGCUAAUAUAGUCCUCAGUACUGUGCCCUACUGCACCUGAAUGAUAGGCACAAUUUUGAUCAGGAUGAUAAAAUCGAGAGUUGGGAUUGACAUGCUUUGGCUGGAUUGGUUUCAAAUGACCGACAUUCUUUAAUCUUUUAAAUAGUUGGGCGUGAAUUUCAGCCAGCGGCGUGAAAUUUUGGGGAGGUUUCUUUUUGAUGUUUGGAUGUGGAGGGUUAUAAUGGUUCUGAUUUGUAGGAGGAGGCACUUGAUGAUAAUUUGGAGGUGCUUGGAUGCUUGUUCGGUUGUUUGGAAGAGUGGAUUGGACAUUAGACUGAUAAUUCAGUGGUGGAACUUGGUAUUGGGGAAAAAUAUUUGGCUGUGGAGCUUGGUACUGGGAUUGGAUAUUUAGGAUUGGAGUUUGGUACUGAGGUUAGACAUUUGGAAGUGGAGCUUGUAUUGGGGUUGGGUAUAGAAUACAUGCUGAAAGUUUGGUGACGGCGGAGAAGAGAAAAUAUUCCCAGAGUUGAACCUCUUUUUUGUUUUUGCAAUAGAAUCAGCAGAGACCGUGCCUAUAUCCUCUUUUUUUUUCUUCGAGAAUAUAGCAGUCCCAGAUGAUGUUGGGGUCUUGACAAUUUUUCCUGUCCAAAUACCUUCUUCUAGCGAUUCUCCUAUUUUUACAAAAUCUGCAAAAGUCGCUCUGACAGCGAACACCAUCCUGGUAUAAUUUCUCCUUCUUGAGCGCGAGAGAACAUAGAUACUAUUUCUUCCUCAGACAUGGGGGGUUUCACUUUGGCAGUUUCUUUCCUCCAACGGAAAGCAUAGUCUUGGAAACACUCAUCAUUUUUAUGUUUGAUCCAAUCUAGUGAAUAUCAGUCAGGGACUAUUUCAAUGUUAAACGCGAACCAUUUAAGGAAACCCUUGGCCAAUGCUUUCCAACCAGUCCAUCUUUUUAGCUCCUGAGACAUGAACCACUCUAAGGCUUCACCACUUAAACUUCGUCUGAACAGGCGCAUCAAUAACGCCUCACUUUUCCCUACCCCCUCCAUUUGAUCACAAUACCUUCUCAAAUGGGCCAUUGGGUUUCCAGUACCGUCAAACACUUCAUACUUAGGGACCUUGUACCCUUCUGGUAGAUCUAUUCUAGGGUGAACACAUAAAUUAUCAUACCCUAAACCAUCAUGGUCCCUCGCUCCAUGAGAUUUUUUGAUUCUCAUGAUCUCUUCAUUCAUAGCUAGCAACUUUAUUUCAUGCUCGAUCCUCCACUCUUUCUCUUUCUCUUUCUCCUCAUAAUGGUCCAUCUCGAGAUUAGGAAGGGGAUUAUAGAUAUCAGAGGAUAUAAUGGCAUGAGGAGAAUUUGGAAGGGAGGUUUGAUUUCGCGGAUGAAAGAAAGUUGGUUGGUAGGUGGGGAGGACAUUUUGGAAAUUGGAAAGGUUCUGUUGAAUUUGAGAGUAGUUUGGUGGAAUCUGAGAAGGAUUUUACGUAUUUGGAAAAGAAUUUGGUGGAUUCGAGGAUAGAUUUGAUGGAAGAUUUGGUGAUGGAUUUUGUGGAUUUGGGAGUGAAUUUUGUGGAUUUGGGAGUGAAUUUUGUUGAUUUGAAAAUGGGUUCUGGGAAUUUGGAAAUAGAUUCGAAGAUGGGUUUUGCGAGGUUAGAGAUGGAUUUUGUGGAUGGUGAACAUCUGGGUUAUUUUUGUGAUUGGUGUUUUGGACAAUUUGAGGAGCGGAGAUGGAUGAUAUGUUGUUUAGAUGAUUCGCGAGAAUAGGCGUACUAAGGAGAGAAAUUUGGAGUGGAGUCCCAUGUCCUUCUGGAGUGGGAGCAUUGACAGUGAUGGCCAGGUUAGCCAAAUCUCGAGUGCGAUUUAUUUCCUCUUAAAGCAUUUCUAACUUUUUUGCGAGUUCCGCAAUCAUCUCACUUUGUUCCGCUAUUACAUUGUCCCUGGUGGUCAAUGCGUUUUCUUCGUCAUUUCCAGUCAUUAUUGAAUGAUGGUCAGAAGAUGGGAUUUUAUGCGCUUUUGACCGAGUGAAGUAGGGAUGUUCUGCCAGCUUAUUUCAACACAGAGUAGUUUUCUAUUGUCUGUAAAGUAAAACAACUCAAAGGCAAAUGUGUUAGUUUUCACAUGUGAUAAGUAAUGUAAAAUACUUGACAAGAAAUAGCCAUGUAGAGUUGUUUGUGUCAUAGACAAAUUCAUCCGUAGGAGCAUAGCGGAUAAACUUUCCUUUGAUCCAAACAAACUCACAUAAACACAUAAGACAGUUAUAAUAAUGUGUAUCCUAAUUGGGGUGACCCUUUUGAGCCAAGGGUUUGGGCCUAACGAUUUUUGAAGAAAAAUAUAUGCUUGCUUAAGGUCAAUACAUUAUCCCUCAACUUUUAUAGACGCUAAAAAGGGCAUAAAUACCUACAAUAUAUAACAAAACAGGGAUACAAUAUUUAGGGAAAAGGAAAUAACAUGAAAUAAAGUAAGUUCCCACGCAGGAGAAUAAAAAAAAACUAGCUACUGGACGUUCCUUCGUUUGCCUUUGCCUUCUUAUCUUUGUUCACCUCCUGCGAUAUUUGAUACCUAUUGAUGAUCAGAUGACUUCCGCAUAACUGUACCUUGCUUUUGUAAGUCAUUUUUCCUAUACUAUCGAGUUGGGAGGCCAUGCUAUCAUCCAAAUAGAUUAAACACUGCCUAGCAUCAUCAGCCUCUUGCCUAGCUCUUUUCAACUCUUCCCUCAACAUACGUAUUAUUAAAGCAUCAUCUACAUGCAUCUGUCGGUGCACGAUUUCACUUUUCUAAAACUCAUCUUGAAGCCUGUGGAGUUGGAUUUGAUGCUCGGAUUCUACAUCCACGACUCGAGUGGGCACGUUUGGCCCCGGAAUCAAUGCUCCAGCGAGGCUCUUUUUUAACCACUCCUUGUAAGUGUCGUUGACUUCAGGUUCAUACCCUAUACAGAAAGAGACUUCUAUCCAACUUCUUCUUCUCCAUCCGUUUAUCAUGUAGUCUUUGAGCGGGGGCUCGCUUUCAUCAUACUCGGUGAAGAAUCUGAGCAUAGAAUCGAUUUGAGGUGUCUCCUGCUUGAUCUCGAAUUGCCUAAGAACUCUACCAGGAUUGUAGGGAAGGGUUCCCCUGAGACUCAUAAGCACUAAAAAAGGCCACUUGCCCCCUCGAAUAGUGUAUUUCCCUGAAUGAAGAUAGUUAAUGGACCAUUGCACAUCGACAUCUCUUAAUUCCCCAAGAGUCUUAAACCAAAAUUCAUGAGAUGCUUCCCUUUUGAACUUGUGUAGAAACAACCAUAUGUCAUGCGGUUCUAGCAGAUUCCUUCUUGUUUUGUGAUCAGGUUGUACCGUUCUAGGAUUUUUCACCAAAUAGAACAUCAUCCACCAUUGCAAUAUAAGGUUGCAGCCUUGAAAGAAAUGAUUCUCGACUUGACAUCUUCCCAAAGCUCUAUAUAUGUCGGCGACAAUCAUGGGAGCUAAGUUGUGGAAUACCUUUUUAGAAUUGUACUCCAUUCCAAACAAGAGGCCAUGGGUCACUGAGACAACCCUUGGAUGAAUUGUGUCAUUUUCUCUUUGUGGGAACACCAUGGUUCCAAGUAGGCCUACCACAAACGCAAAGGCCCUCGUCUCCUUCCAUUUUGCUUCUGACUUAAAUUUAUGUCCAAAUUUGUGAAAAGCAUUGAAUCUUCCGAACCGAUGAUACAACUCACGAAAAGUGAUAUUUUCUCCAUCACGUUACCCUAGCCAGGUGUCGUCGUCAAUUUAAAAUACCUCCUUUAUCUUUUGACGAUCCCAUACAACUGGUACUAAAAUGUUCUUAUCAGGUGUCUCCUUUCUCUUGAAACACAUUUCAGUACUCUCAUAACAAAUCAAUACCUCUUCAAUGGUAGGAGUCAAUUCAACAUCCCCGAAGCAAAAUACCAUAUUCUGAUCAUCCCAAAAAGUUGUUAGUAUAUGGAUUAUUUUGGGCUAAGCGUCCAUCUCGAACAAAAAAAAAAGAUGCCCAAUGUGUGUUCUAACAAUCUUUCUCUCUUCUGCGCUCAUGUAAUCCCACCAUAGUUUCAAGAAAUCAUCAAGUUUAGUAACCAUCUUGAGCUUUUCGGGGGAAUGCAGUUGAGCCAUAUCCUACACGAAAGCAGACAAAGAUAAGCCUUCCCCCGUCCCCAAAGGGUAAUGAGUUGAAUUAGACAAGAAUAUAUAUUUUUUUCAACACAUAAAUAUGAUUCAUCCGUAAUUGACUCGGGGUCAAUAAACGUAGGACAAGUUUUCUAAUGAGCCCAAUACCCUGCUCGGGUAUUGGGUCGUCCUAAGCAUGCCUAAAAUAGGGUUUUGGUUUUGUUCUAUCCGAGGUGUCUAGAGUGGGUUUGAACACUGGUUCUCAAGCGAACAACUUGAGUUUGAAAAUACAAACAGCCAUCAAACGACUCACGUGCUAAUAAGCCAUUGGUAUUUCCAACACAUUAUUGGAAUUAAACAAUAGGGGCCGGGACAUCCACGAAACCCCAAAAUAAUUUAAAUAAUGCAGGAAUAUGCCAUGAGAUGUGAUAGUUAAACUUUACAGAAUCAAAAUAUAUAAACACAUAAACAGUGAAUCAAAAGACGAAAAUCAAAUAUUUGGUUAGAACCUAGUUUCAAAUCCCAGCAGAGUCGCCAUUUCUGUUUUAAGGAAAUUUUUGACUUUUAAAAAGAGUCACCACUUAAUUUUUGAAAAGAAAUUAAGAAACCUUUAUAAAGUACUUCAAAGGAUCCAAAACAGACAAAUCAUUUAAGUUAGAGAUUCUGAAUAAGCGAUUCCUAUUAAAAUUUUAAGAAGGUGUUAGGCACCUAAAAUGUCCGCUAACUUGUGGUUAUCUGGACUGUUUGAAAGCAUCUUUUGAUUAACUUUGAAAAGAUUGAUUUGUUGAAAAUGAUCGAUUUUUUAGAAAAGACUUGUGUAAAAUAGAUUUAGGAGAUUUAGUAGGGAUUUUAACUAAAUCUAAACAAAACGAAUAAGCAAAUAAACACAUAAAAGGGGAAACGGAUGAGAAAGUAAAGAGUUUAGACCAUUGGGCCCAAAUCGAUAAAACUUAUCCUAAUCUAGUUAGGCUUUCAUCCCAUAACCUGUCCUAAACUAUUCUUUCAGGCCCGUUGGCCCAAAAUCCGCUCCACCUGUAUUAAAUUUACAACUUUGGCUUUGAGAUCCAAAUGAAUUCUCAAAUGAAUGAAUAAGCAAAAUAAACAAAUGAAUAAAUAAAUAAUGACAACAAUAAAAAUGAACAAAUAAAUGAAAAAAUGAGACUUUCAAGUCCCUUGGCCGCUUUAAAGAUGGACUUCUACUGAUUCUUCUCCUUUCAUCUCCUUACAUCCGUACACCUCAUAAUCGGCUUUUGUACUUGGUCUCGGAGUUGAUUCGAUAGAGGGAGUGGGCAUCAAUAACCCAUGAUGAAUAUGCAAAAGAGAGAGAGUCCAUGUGGGACUCAAAAACGGAUUCACAUGCAAGGAACGAAAUAAGGAGAUUAAUAUGCAUCCAAAGUGUAGAACGCGAUAUAGAUAAAUAACAUAACAAAUCCAUAGAUAAAAAGAGAACUAUUGUAAUCCAAAAUAAUAUAGAAAACAGUAGGUCAAGAUAUAGAAAAGUCAAGGAAAAAGGGCAUGCUCAAUAGGGUAAAGUCAUGCAACUAUGGUUGUCAUCAGUACAUAAAUAAACAUAUAAACUAAAAAAAAAGUUCUAAGACUAAAUUGGCGAGGAUUUUCGUAAGCAAGAACAAGUAAACAAUGAGACUUACACUAGAGUUGGGAGUUAAAAUAAACCUCAUAAGCGACUCAUUCAUAACGUCAAGUAAGAAAAGAACCCCUCUUUUUGAGGAAAUAAAACAGAGUUCCUCACUGUACCAUUUCUUUAAAAGGACAGAACUUAUUAACAUAUCUUACCUAAAUUUAGCAGCUUGGAAAAACAAACGCUAACAUACAAUGUCAACUUAAGCAAGAAUUAAUGAAACUUGACCCAAGAACUGUUCAGACAACUAAAGAAACGUAACUUUUCAAGUGGAUAAGUUUGUAAGUUGAUAGUAUAUUUAUACUACAGUGAGCGAAGAAGCAACAAAUCUCUGAAUAGUCAAAAGACUCUUAGUAACUAUGGCUUCAAGAACAAUUCCACCACCAUUUUUCCAAUGAAAAAAACAAAAUAGACAAUAUAAUACCAUAAAGCGUAGACAGACAUGAUGAAAGGAAAAUAAAAAAGGGAGAGAACGUUUGAAAUGAAUCAAGCAAAACCUGCCUACCUAGAGUUUUGGUAGAGAAACUAUGAAGAUGAAAAUUAGGUAUGAUGAGACCCCGUUUCGUCUUCCAAAUUUCUUUUCAAGAGAAAUCUAAAGAAUUUCCUCCCACAAAAGCCUUGUCUCUACACAAUUGCUAAGAGCAUUUCCUGGAAACGGCCUUACAAAACUCUAAAGAGUUUUAGCCCUUGAAAAUUAUAACUAGAGUGAAAACCACAAACCCAGCUCAAAGAGAAUGCACACCAUGUAAUGAUUUUCAACAUCAAAGAUACCUCAUCCAUUGUCUUUUACAAUAAAGCCAUUACAUUUCCUCGGGGAUCAAUCAAACAGAACACCGUUUUGAAACAAAAUCAAAAAGAAAAUAAAAGACUCAAACUUUGUAAUUCUACAACAAAGGGAACCCGACCAGGAUGUUUCUUUUUUAAAAGAAAGGAGCUGGCAGGGCGUAUUAUUUUAUCCUUCUCCUCUUUUCGAUAAACUCAAAAAAUGAGUUUUUAACAGUCAAAAUGGUCAUCAGAGAAUUAUAAGAUUUCUGGUACGCUUUUGGACAUAUCUCAUUAUUCCCUUUUGCAUUGAAAAAGAAAGAAGAACUCUCGAGGCAGUCCAGAUGGUGGUGUUACCGGUUUAAAUAGAAAACAAUGAUCUAAGACUGUCAAACAGUAAUGAUGAACGGGUCAACAUAUCAUUAUGGUCUUCCUCCUCAUUCAAACGAAAUGGCAGUCGAGGGAUCCUAAGAUUUUGUAGUACAUUUCAUUAUUGGAAACAUUUUGGUCAUUCUCUUUGGCAUAUGAGAAGCUGAAGGAACUCACAAAGUAGUCCUAUUAGUGAUGUUACUAGCUAAACAGAAAAUGACUCAAACAAAAUGACAUUCAGCUAUCCAGUUAAGUGAAAAUUUAAACGGGCAUCUCAAUGGAAAUCAAUGAAUAAAAUUCAUAAAUAAUAUACGAUACAAAAAUAGUAAAUUGGAAGGUAAUCUACGAUGUUGAGAUCAAAUAGCAGAUUAUGAAAUCAAGACAAUCAAAAGAGAUUGAAACUAGAAACUUUAACAACUAAACCAGGAGUUAACAACAAACGUAAUCACAUGACAGACACCAUGUUCAUCCAACGUAUCCUAUGGUCUUACAAAACCUCUACAUCAGCUAAUCCCAGCACACAAUACUCGUAAUAAAACAUUAAUAUGGCUACAGAAGUGGAGAUGAAGUAGAAAAUAUUUAAAAGAUAAAUAGAAUGGAGCGCCACCUAUUUCGUGGCAGCAAAAUGGAACAACGAACUAACGUUGGAAUCAGCCACCACUAGGAAUUAGUGUUAUCAACUGGGGGAGCCUCCGAUUACCAACCCUAGUUUUUCAAUCCUAAUUUUCUCCCCAAUUUUGAGACUGUUUCUCUAGUUUUUGUUUUCUCUUCUAAGAAAAAAAAAUUUCAACCCUUUUUCUCCCAGAAGGGGAUGUUUAUAUAGAGGAGAAAUUGGGGGUCUCUUCUCCGUCUAGAACAAUGUGGGAAAAAUCCAAUAAAGGGUAAUUUGGGGACACCACACAAAAGGAGAAAUUGAAUUCCAAAUUUUGGAUAGGAAUUCUAUCUUACCAUUUAUACCAUCUGGGUGAAAUUCGCAAUAUGGGCAGCCAAUCCAGAUUGGGGAAGGGGGAAUCAUCUUCAAGAGCCAAUGAGAAAUCUCUACCAAGGUAUGAAUUCAUACCACGGCACCCAAGAUUUGCGGGAUUUGAACAUUGGGUAGGACACCUCAUCGAUCUUCUUAAAGAUUCGAGGUUGGCGAUCCAUUAGUUCGGGUUGGAUUUGGGAAUUGUUCGAAUUUAGGAUUGAGAAUGGUUUGGUUUUACUGGAUUGAGUUGUUGGAGAUGGGUUGGGUCCUGAAGUUGAUGAAGUUGGUCUUGUACGCUAUUGAUAUAGCUUAUGGAAGAGAGAAGAGGGAUGUUUUAGUCGGGUAAGACAGAUUUUAGGUGUUGGGUCGGCUUUUGGAAAAGAAAGGAAGAGGCCCAGGAGAUUUAUAUUUGGGCUGCUGAAAAUAGAGGGGUUGGCUUGGCUAUUUAAAUUUUGGGUCUUUAUUUGAGGUUAUUUAAUAACCCCUAUUAAAUCUAAUUCGGUUAUUAAAUAACCCUAAUUAAGAU
RNAcentral lists this long non-coding RNA (36430 nucleotides) under Capsicum annuum. RNAcentral describes it as "long non-coding RNA (CANN_LNC016300)". Lineage: Eukaryota; Viridiplantae; Streptophyta; Magnoliopsida; Solanales; Solanaceae. The record is from RNAcentral.